AUGAGAAGUUUUGGACCCGUGUCUGCCGGUAGUUCCCCCGACUCUUUGUACGGCUGACUAUUGGCGCCGUGUUCCCUCGUUCUUGUUGCUGCCAUUACUGUUGCCUUUAAAGUGCUUGCGUGCAGGUACCUAAACUACGGGAAGUAGUGUCUCUUACAUGGUUGCCUCGUGGUGGACGCCUUCGGGUAUGCCGCUGCGGCCAAAUGGCGUUUGUGUCGUUGCCUCGUGGUGCUGGCUGUUUACAUGACCAGUGCUGUCAAGGCAACCUCGCUCCUGCUGUUGGUCUCGGAUGUUGCUCACGUUAAAGUCUCAUGGCCCUUUUGGUUGCCUUGACCCGACCCUAAGAAGCUCUCCGAAUUGAGAACACCCGGAACAGGUGUUGCCUCUACCUCUCCACAGUUAGUGGUAGGAUACGCAACAUUUUGCGCCGAUCCUCAAACAAGUAGGACGAGCUUAGCCCGCUCAAUUGCGACAACCGGCCCGGCAGUUGCGUUGCUCUGCCAUGAAAGUGGAUAGGUGGACAACUGUUGAUGCUGGAUGUCAAAGAGGACGUGCU
This 556-nucleotide unclassified non-coding RNA is filed under the name Milium effusum. Its description in RNAcentral is "partial external transcribed spacer". The record is from RNAcentral. Lineage: Eukaryota; Viridiplantae; Streptophyta; Magnoliopsida; Poales; Poaceae.